Triticum aestivum (bread wheat) is the source of this 2070-nucleotide long non-coding RNA. RefSeq lists it as uncharacterized. The record is from RefSeq and is a predicted model, not a curated record. Lineage: Eukaryota; Viridiplantae; Streptophyta; Magnoliopsida; Poales; Poaceae. The transcript has 5 exons.
UUUAGCAUUGGAUCCGUAGGAUGAUUAGAAUCUUUCCCCUUUUGGGUGAUGCUCAAAAAAAAAAAUUGCCGGGCCGACAGGUCCGAGCCCGAGGCACGACGGGACCGUGCGACGCUGGUCCCACCCGGCGUGAUAAGUCUCAUCAUUGGCCGCGAAUCAGAUACGGAGGCAAGUAGUAAAAGUCAACGCCAUUUCCGAAUACGGAGGCAGGAUACGGGGCUGGCUGCACAGAUAAAAGGACGCCCGCUGGGAGGGAGGGCUCUGUUUCUUGUCUGUCCCUGCGUUUCGACCUCGCUGCCCGUCCACUUUCGACCUUCGCAACCGCGCCUUCGCCGCUCGGCGCCUCUCCGGCCUACCCACCUCCCGUCAGAGUUUUGGUCCUAAUCCUCAAAGGAAACCAAUAUCGUGGGUUGCUCCCCCCAGAUCUCUGCCUCCGCGGCGAGUGGGGAAUAAGAGGAGCCGCCGCCGCCGGCCGGCACCUCCGCUCCGCAGCACUGGAAUGGGGAACUAUCUGACGAGUAGAAUAACGGCAGAGAAGCAUGCCCAUGUCAAGCAGACAUCCAAGAAUCGCAAUGGGAGGCCUGGCCUUAAAUUUCAUGACCUUCCAGAGGUGAAUGAGACCAAAUUACGUCUCAUCUAGAUGAGUUCUAGGUACUCCCUUAUCGAAAUUACCUGCAAAAGAGGCUGUUCGGACCAGUGUUUUGUCGACUGACUGGAGAUGUACAUGGACAGCUUGCCCCAGACUAAGCUUUGGUGUCGAUGAUGUAAGUAAGAAUGCGAAAAGGAAACACCAGCACACCCAGAUGUUUAUCGACCGUGUUAAUGCGGUUUUGACCAAGCACAGCGGCAGGGCUCUUGACCAACUUGAGAUUAAAUUUAUAUUCGAGGCCAAGCUUGUUGAUCACCUCAAUAAUUGGAUUAGAUUUGCUAUGUCAGCCCACACAAAGAGUCUAGCUUUUGAUUUGGCGCCACCGGACAAUUUUCCCAAAUAUGGGGAUCAUUACAGAUUCCCAUUUGAACAAUUUACAGACAAGAAAAGUGUAUCCUGUCUAGCGUGUCUUCAACUCAGCUUUGUAUGUUUCGAACCACCUCCUGCCAAUUUCAUAGGUUUCCCAAACCUAAGAAAGCUUCAUCUCCAUGUACUCAAGACCACUAGGCAGGAUCUUGAGAGUAUCUUGUGCAGUUGUGUUAAUCUUGAAUGGCUGAGCUUACUCAGAUGCCAUCUCAAGGAUCAAAUGAAGGUGGUUCGGCGGCCAUUGUCCCACCUGCACUACUUGAAAGUCGUGCACUGUGAUAUAACCAAGAUAGAGUUCAAUGCUCCAAUGCUCUCCACCUUUGUUUAUGAUGGACCAUACAUACCUAUUACCCUCCAUCAUGCUGCGAAGCUGGAAAAUGCAACAAUUAGGUUCCUCGGCGCAGUUUUUCAGCAUUGUAUCGCGUCACUCCUCAAUGGGCUACCAGAUGUACACAACCUGACACUGCAUCUUGGAAUGCAAGAGCUUGAGGCCCGGUGGAUGUUAAAUAGCCCUCGUGUGUUUUCUCACCUUAGGCAUGUGCAAAUACUGUUGAUUAUACAUUAUGAAGAAUAUGACAAAAUCCUCUACUUAGUUUCUUUUUGAAGGGUUGCUCCGUUCAUUGAAAAGUUGGAAGUACAUUUUCAUGAUAUUGGCACUUUGCGGUUUGCAUCCGAUGGACCUUUGAGACAAGAAAUGCCACCGUGUGAAGAUAAAUUUGUUAAUCUGAAGGACGUUCGAGCUACAGGAUUCAGAGGGGCACGCGGCCAAGCUGAAUUCCUUAUGCACGUGGUUGAAAAUGCUCCUGCAAUAGAGGUCGUGACUGUAGAUACAGCUCAAAGGCUAACUGAUGCUUGGGAUCCAGAUGAACCAAUUCCUAGACUAGAUAGUGCUGCUCUUGAUAUGGUUAGAGCUCCCCUCCUUAAGACACUCCCACCGAAUGCAAAACUUUCACUUAUUUAAGGCAGACUUGCAUCUGUUGCAUAUAUGUAGCUUCCGAAAGUAGAGUAAAUCUGGCAUGUAAUUUCUCUUUAAUUGUUAAAUUAGUUAUCAUCAA